CAGUAGCCGCGGGAAUACGAAGGGUGCAAGCGUUAAUCGGAAUUACUGGGCGUAAAGCGCGCGUAGGUGGUUCAUUAAGUUGGAUGUGAAAGCCCUGGGCUCAACCUGGGAACUGCAUCCAAAACUGGUGAGCUAGAGUACGGUAGAGGGUAGUGGAAUUUCCUGUGUAGCGGUGAAAUGCGUAGAUAUAGGAAGGAACACCAGUGGCGAAGGCGACUACCUGGACUGAUACUGACACUGAGGUGCGAAAGCGUGGGGAGCAAACAGGAUUAGAUACCCCAGUAGUCCCUGUCUCUUAUAA
This 301-nucleotide ribosomal RNA is filed under the name uncultured bacterium. RNAcentral describes it as "partial 16S ribosomal RNA". It matches the Rfam family "Bacterial small subunit ribosomal RNA", at positions 509 to 809 of the family's 1533-position model. The record is from RNAcentral.